GUAAGUAGCGCAGAUAAUUCUCUUCCCACGGAUGUUGCAGCUACUCUCUCGGAUAUUUUCUUUUUAAUAGAGCAAAAAUAAUUCCCUGCUUUAAAGAAGAAAAAAAAGCCUUCUCAGUGUCCCCAAAAAUAAUCCAUAACCAAUCUAUAAGUGAAAAUUUGGGUGAGUUUAUUCUGAGCCAAAAUCUGAGGACCACGGCCCAGGGCCUUUCUUCCCAAAGGAAGGGCACCAAAGAAGUGGGGUGUACAGAGUGGUUAUAUACCCCCAAAGAGGAUGUUUCACAUAUGAUUCAAAUGUCCGGAGACUGCUCUCGGCAUAGUGAUUGAUGGACACAGCAGGUAGGUCUGCUGUCUCCGUAGACACAGCAGGAUGGCAGGUCUGUUGUCUCCAGCUGGGUGGUCACAGGAUGUCUUUUAUCCCUUCCAAGCGGCUGUAACCUGGGCUUCACAGUUGAGGAAGAAAGAUUGACAAGGCAACAUGCCAUUCAUGGGAGUAACUCAAGAAUGAUCAAAUAAUAGUGCAUAAAUCAAAUGCUAUUGGAAACUGCCUGGGAGAGUGAGAUAAAGCCCCACAGAUAAGACGACAUUUAUGCUGGAUCUUGAAAGUAAGCUGCCAUAUGCAGAGGCUCAGAUGACAAGGAAUUGAGGAUGGCCUCUGGGCAAGAGUCAUUAAGGAACUGAGGACCCCGAGUGCAACCACCAGUGAGGAAGUGAAUUC
Long non-coding RNA from Equus asinus (donkey), 717 nucleotides. NCBI's taxonomy places the organism in Eukaryota, Metazoa, Chordata, Mammalia, Perissodactyla, Equidae. The record is from Ensembl.